This 574-nucleotide ribosomal RNA is filed under the name uncultured fungus. Its description in RNAcentral is "eukaryotic LSU rRNA". It matches the Rfam family "Eukaryotic large subunit ribosomal RNA", at positions 219 to 649 of the family's 3401-position model. The record is from RNAcentral. Lineage: Eukaryota; Fungi.
UCCCGUCUUUGACUCAGUGCAUGCUACUAUGUGAUACGUUUUCAAAGAGUCGAGUNGUUUGGGAAUGCAGCUCAAAAUGGGUGGUAAAUUUCAUCUAAAGCUAAAUAUUGGCGAGAGACCGAUAGCGAACAAGUACCGUGAGGGAAAGAUGAAAAGAACUUUGAAAAGAGAGUUAAACAGUGCGUGAAAUUGUUAAAAGGGAAACGCUUGACACCAGUUAUGCGGGUGGAAAAUCAGUCUUUUGGAGUGAAGGGUGGUAAGGGUUCGGACCGCAAGGCCGGCCUUUGCCUCAUCUCUGCUCUAAGUGAUGCACUUUUUCAUUUGCAGGUCAACAUCAGUCGUUUCCGCUGGACAAAACUCCAAGAGAAGGUAGCAGCUUAGGCUGUGUUAUAGCUCUGGAGCGAUACAGCGGAGAGGACUGAGGUUUUCGCAGCGUGUGCUCUCGGGCAAGGUUGACUGGGUGCUAUGGGAUCGUUCGCCGUACAAUGCAUGCAUUUUGCGACGUGUCUUUUUCAUACUCGCUCAGCUCAACUCUUCCACGCUUAGGAUGUUGACAUAAUGGUUUUAAUCGACC